AAGGCGGUGAUGGUGGUGGUGGUGAAAACGGAAAAGGUGGCAAUGGUGGUGGUAAAGGGAAGGGAAAAGGCGGUGAAGGGAAGGUGAAGGAUGAGGUAGGUGGCGGCGGCGGUGACGGUGACGGAGGUUUUGGUGGUGGUGAGAUGAUUAUGAAUAGUAAUGUAGGUAAUGGUAUGCAGAUGAUGCAGCAGCAAGUUCAAUUUGGAUAUCCAUACCCGUAUAUGUACGGGCCGGUUUAUCCAGCUGAACAGUUUCAGAACCCGUACCCGGUAUCAGUUCAUGCCCCUCAGCUCUUUAGUGAUGAGAACCCAAAUGCUUGCAGUAUUAUGUGAUGAUAAUCAUGAGAUUGGAGAAAAAAAUAAUCAGAACUCUUUUUGCUAAUUUUAGAGAAAAUCAAAAAGCUAAAAACUUGUAGAUAAAGAGAAGAG
Molecule: unclassified non-coding RNA, 428 nt
Filed under: Hevea brasiliensis (rubber tree)
Lineage: Eukaryota; Viridiplantae; Streptophyta; Magnoliopsida; Malpighiales; Euphorbiaceae
Source: RNAcentral